UACGUAGGGGGCUAGCGUUGUCCGGAUUUAUUGGGCGUAAAGAGCGUGUAGGCGGCCAAGUAGGUCCGGUGUGAAAACUCGAGGCUUAACCUCGAGAUGUCAUCGGAAACCAUUUGGCUAGAGUCCGGAAGAGGAAAGUGGAAUUCCUGGUGUAGCGGUGAAAUGCGUAGAUAUCAGGAAGAACACCCGUGGCUAAGGCGGUUCUCUAGUACGGUACUGACGCUCAGACGCGAAAGCGUGGGGAGCGAACAGG
Molecule: ribosomal RNA, 253 nt
Filed under: uncultured bacterium
Lineage: Bacteria
Description: partial 16S ribosomal RNA
Rfam family: Bacterial small subunit ribosomal RNA
Source: RNAcentral